UACGGAGGGUGCGUGCGUUAAUCGGAAUUACUGGGCGUAAAGCGCGCGUAGGCGGCUAAGUAAGCCGGGUGUGAAAGCCCCGUGCUCAACCUGGGAAUGGCAUCCGGAACUGUUUAGCUAGAGUGCAGAAGAGGAAGGUAGAAUUCCCGGUGUAGCGGUGAAAUGCGUAGAGAUCGGGAGGAAUACCAGUGGCUAAGGCGGCCUUAUGGUCUGACACUGACGCUGAGGCGCGAAAGCGUGGGGAGCAAACAGG
Molecule: unclassified non-coding RNA, 253 nt
Filed under: uncultured Halomonadaceae bacterium
Lineage: Bacteria; Pseudomonadati; Pseudomonadota; Gammaproteobacteria; Oceanospirillales; Halomonadaceae
Description: contains 16S-23S intergenic spacer region
Rfam family: Bacterial small subunit ribosomal RNA
Source: RNAcentral